Non-coding RNA from Peromyscus maniculatus bairdii (prairie deer mouse), 1144 nucleotides. The record is from RefSeq and is a predicted model, not a curated record. Lineage: Eukaryota; Metazoa; Chordata; Mammalia; Rodentia; Cricetidae.
GUGCUGGCUGGAGACUGCUGGAGCUGGGUCUGUUUUCCUGGGCUGUUGUCCCUGAGAAGCGUGACGCCUUGGUGGUCCAGGAAGUUGCCCUAGUGAGAAGCUUGGAACCUGUCUCUUCUAAUGAACAUCUUACUUUCAGUCACAAGGGAACUUGUGUUUGGCCCUGACUUAGAAGUAUAAAUAUGCUUUCAUUGACUUAAAUGCUACCUCGAUUCUUUGCUUCAUUAACGUCCAUGUGAGUGGUUCGUCGGCACAGGCAGCCCUCCCCUGUGCAGUGUUUAGUGUGAGAGUCCCAGAUUGAGUGUCGUGCUAAGCAGGCUGAAAUCUGAAUCAAGAGACGUUUUCAAGAUUUGUAUUAGGAAGGUGUACAACGGUUUAGUUGAAGUCGCCUUAUAAAACACAUAUGAUUUUUAUUCAUCCACAUACUGCUGGUUUGUGACUUAUUAGAGGAGUAAAUUUCUCUGCUUUUUACUUCAGUGACUAUAAGGAAAUAGAAUAUGGAAUAUGGCACAUAUUUGGCUUGAUUAGAACUUAAUUUCUUUUCUAUGAUAGCAUUUAGCACAUUAGCAUGUUUGUUGUUGUGCUAGUUACUUUUAGGUUUAAGAGAGAUGACAUUUUCAUUUAAUUACGUCUCAUUAUUUCCUUUUCCUUUCUUUCUAUGUCUGCGUCCUGCAUUUCUGAGCCAUCAAAAGGUCCCACAAUCACACCUUGCUGCUCUUCACUUCCCGAUCUUUCUAAGAUUGAUCUCCUUCCCUCCCACAUCCGUCCUCCAAUGAACAGGGAUUAUUCACUCUCCUUGCACAUGCCAUGCUUCUCAACCAUUUAGGUAUCCUGGUCAGCAGGAAGAAAAGGCGUUUGGGAAGACAUUUCUGCAUCCUUAUACAAAGACUGCCCUCCCCACCAUCAUUUCCAUUCCAUCCACUGUGAAAACCAGCCAGACAACGUUGUGUGGCUGGAAACCAUUGUGUCUGGAUUCAUAUUUUUUCAUGCAUCUUCGAAUACAGCCUCUUAACCAGAUGACAAGAAGGAAUAUUCCUCAGAAGAUAAGGAGAACAGUGGCUACCCCUAACAAGCCCAAACUCCUUUGAGUAAAGAAAACGUGUGCAUGGAAUCUGAACCUCUACAUGCUAAGGAGUCCUGCCGC